CCUGCCAGUGGUCAUAUGCUUGUUUCAAAGCCUAAGCCAUGCAUGUCUAAGCACAGCUUGUAAAAGUGAAGCCGCGAAUAGCUCAUUACAACAGCCGUUGUUUAUUGGAUCUCCAUUCUCUACUUGGAAUAACUGUGGUAAUUCUAGAGCUAAUACAUGCGACCAAGGCCUGAACUUACGUGACGGCUGCAUUUAUUAGAACAAGACCAACCGCCUUCGGGCGUUCUCUGGUGACUCUGAAUAACUGAGUGAAUCACAUGGCCUUGCGCCGGUGAUGUAUCUUUCAAGUGUCUGCCUUAUCAACUUUCGAUGGUAGUUUAUGUGCCUACCAUGGUUGUAACGGGUAACGGAGAAUAAGGGUUUGACUCCGGAGAGGGAGCCUGAGAAACGGCUACCACUUCUAAGGAAGGCAGCAGGCGCGCAAAUUACCCAUUCUCGGCACGAGGAGGUAGUGACGAAAAAUACCAAGCUGGGAUCCAUUGGGUUCCGGCAUUGGAAUGAGAACAAUACAAAUCUUUUAACGAGGAUCUAGUGGAGGGCAAGUCUGGUGCCAGCAGCCGCGGUAAUUCCAGCUCCGCAAGUGUAUAUCUAUGUUGCUGCGGUUAAAAAGCUCGUAGUUGGAUCUGCGUGUUUAGCGUCCGGUUCACCUUCUGGGUGCUACUGGAACGCGACACAGAUGUGUUGGUUUGGUGUCGGUGCUCUUAACCGGGUGUCGGCGCCGGCUAACGAGUUUACUUUGAAAAAAUUAGAGUGCUCAAAACAGGCGUUUCGCCUGAAUAUUUCUGCAUGGAAUAAUAGAAUAGGACUUCGAUUCUAUUCUGUUGGUUUUCGGAAUGCGAGGUAAUGAUUAAGAGGGACAGACGGGGGCAUUCGUACUGCGACGUUAGAGGUGAAAUUCUUGGAUCGUCGCAAGACGUACUACUGCGAAGGCAUUUGCCAAGAAUGUUUUCAUUAAUCAAGAACGAAAGUUAUGGGUUCGAAGGCGAUCAGAUACCGCCCUAGUCAUAACCGUAAACGAUUCAAACUAGGCGCCCGACGGCGUUUUCAUUGACCCGUCGCACGCCUUGCCGGAAACGAAAGUGUUCGUGUUCCGGGGGAAAUAUGUCUGCAAAGAGGAAACUUAAAGGAAUUGACGGAAGGGCACCACCAGGGGUGGAGCCUGCGGCUUAAUUUGACCCAACACGGGGAAACUCACC
This 1196-nucleotide ribosomal RNA is filed under the name uncultured soil eukaryote. Its description in RNAcentral is "SSU rRNA". It matches the Rfam family "Eukaryotic small subunit ribosomal RNA", at positions 13 to 1219 of the family's 1831-position model. The record is from RNAcentral.